AGAAAGUUAUCAAGAUCAGCUUAAGCCAAAUGGACCAUUUC
RNAcentral lists this small RNA (41 nucleotides) under Filamoeba nolandi. RNAcentral describes it as "partial Mitochondrion-encoded tmRNA". Lineage: Eukaryota; Evosea; Variosea. The record is from RNAcentral.